This 1937-nucleotide long non-coding RNA is filed under the name Podarcis muralis (Common wall lizard). Its description in RNAcentral is "lncRNA (ENSPMRG00000000518.1)". The record is from RNAcentral. Lineage: Eukaryota; Metazoa; Chordata; Lepidosauria; Squamata; Lacertidae.
CAUCUGUAACCCGAGGUACCACUGUAGUGCAAAUGCAAAGAUUGCAACAUUGGUCAAAAGGCCUACAGAUUGGGGACAACAUCAAAGAGAACUGUGUUGCUAAGGAUGAAGUAAUCUCAAAUUCACCCUUAUCUCACACCCUUAUCUAGAGUGCUACUUCAAAAACAAUGGAACCCGUCCCAUUAGGGCAGCAUUCUUGGCUUCCCACCUGCAUAUAUAGGCAUGAACUCUGUGAAGGCAUCACAUUUGCUAGUUCAUCCUUGGGACUCCUUUCAACGGCACACAAGUCUGAGAAGAACCAUGAAGUUCGUCUGUCUCUUCUUUGCCGUGGUCUUCCUUGGCAUUUCCCAGUCUGAUGAAGCCGAUGUGCAAAAGAAAUGGAGAAAGCCCUUGGAAGACUUGCGUGGCCUUCAGGGCCAAGACCCAGCUUUGCCAGCUGACGAUGAUGAAGCUUUGAAGGAUGAAGAAGAUGUUCCCCGCCCAAGAAAUCCCAUCGUAUGCAAUUCUAUGGGGGGGAGAUGCCGUCACAAGUGUGGUCUCUCUGAGAAGUAUGUUGGACGAUGCUUUGCAACUAUGUCCUGCUGUGUGCGUUUUCAGUAGAGAGCAUGCGCGAGAAAGAGGCAAGAAAGACCAACAGCGUAUGAUCGGAAGAGAGGAAGAAACCGAUCGAGAUGAAUUAAUGCUAAAUCAUUCCUUUUCAAUUAAAAUUGAGUUUGCAUCCAAUCAUUCUUACUCCAGGGACUCAAUUACUCCUAGUUAUCACUAGCGCUGAACUACCACUGCUGUUGUAACUACUACUACAAACUCUCCCUGUGCCCCGAGUUAUCCGAAAAAGUCUCAAUUUUCUUGAUUUCUUGAUUUGAUUUUAUUUAUUUUAUUUCUAUGCAACUGUUCAUCCACAUGAAUCUCAAAGCAGCUUUGAAAGAGCAAAUAACAAUAACAGAACAGAACAUCACAAAUCAUAUAGAAUGAUGAACAAAUCAGUAAAACACUAUUAACAAAACAACAACAACAAAAAGCAAAGCAGCAUAAUCACAACAGAAGUCAUAUUAUGGGAUUCACGAAGUACUACAGCAUUCACAAUCUAUAAAACAAUCUUAACAGCAUUAACAAAAUAGCAAACAAAAAAAUAAACUAAGCCCUGUUGAAUUCAUACACAAACUCUUCUCAAAUCUCAUGAUUUCAGCUCAUUAAAAUACACAUCGACAUCUUGCCCAUGGCAGGAACUCCUUUCUGAAGGUUUAUUGGGUUGGAUGUGGGGCAGCACAGGGGCCUCUCCUCCCUCCCAGUUCUUUCUCUGGAAACAGUUCCCUUAUGAAGGCUCCUAGGAGUGGGUGCUGUUGACAGUUCCUGGCUAUCUGCCCAGGAAAGCAGAAAUGCAGAGAGAAAGAGCUUUUUAGACACAGGGAAAACAAUCUUACGAUCAAGCCAACAUUGCUUGGAAUAACGCACCACCGGCUCCCUGGCUGUUACUUCCUAGCAAUUAGACCCCUCCUGCUGCUUACGGUGGCUGCUAAGGGCAAACCGUCUUUGGGCUCCUUGUUUUGCGACAUGCAGAGCAUUCCUAGUUCUUAGGGAAGGACGGGGGCUCUGGCAAACUCUCCAGAGACGGCGAGUCACUUGGCUGCUGCACAGAUCGGACUCCUACCUCUGUGCACUGCUCCUGUCCUUCAUCACCCAUUAUUUCCCAACUCCUUCCUCUCUCCUGUCUCAAACCACCAGUCCAAAACAUUACUGUCUCCCCCUUUGCCCUCACUGUAAUGCUUCUGCGGUCUCCGCCUCUUCUCACCAGCAGUCCAGUCCCUGACAGGUGGAGGAUGAGGCAAGGCAGGUGGAAACAGAUAUUGCCUGACAAACAGCACCAAGUCCCCCCCCUCACAGUACUUGCUCUUGUUAUUAUCCCAAGGAAAAGGGGCACCCCAAAUUCUCUUCUAGGG